CCUGAUGUGAUGCAAAUAUUCUUUGACAAUUCUUUUUUUUCUCAAUAUUUGACGAAUUGUCCAUCUAUCGACAUCUCGGGAUCAAAUAAUGGAAGAUGCUUGAUUUUUGUAGUAUUCUUUGGCUGAUGCAAAUCUAGAUAAGGGUCAUGAUUCAUGAAAGUCUGUCAGAGCUGAGAAUUGUAUCUAUAGUUUUUACAAAUAGACAAAAAGGUAAUACAUUAGGACACGUGUAUCUCUGACAAUUGUUUUGAUAUAAAGAAGGUCCCAAUUUCCAGCCUGAGAAUCCAUUCUGGAAGCUCCAGUCAUUGAGACAAGCUCACUUUUUGAUCUGCACCUACGUAAGACAAUCUCGGUCUUUUCGUCCCGAAAAAGUAACAAUGAGGUUCCCUGUGUUGUUCGGUCUUCUCUUGACUUUGGCUCUGGCCAGUACUGGAGUCCACAGCAGGCAAAUUGAUAUGUCUUAUGCGAAUUACGCUGCUGGCGAUUUUGAUGAUAGGUUGGACGGACCCUCUGGUGAUGGCCCUUCAGUCUAUUUCCCUACUGUCGAGGAAUACUGGACUGAUAAUGCAUCUGGUGAUGAGAGUCUUCUCAGAGUCGAUGGAUCCGGGGGUGAGGAUAGAUCUGGUGAUGGCCCCUCUGGCGAUUUCCCUGUUGAAUAUGAAUACUGGACUGAUGAUUGGUGGGGCGAUCUCCGGCUCCACGGACUCCAUUGAUGGUGAACAAGACUUCUAGGAUAUAGGUUGCCUCUUGUAAAAGAGACCGUGAAGACAUUCCAAUUAUCAAUGGGUCACUAUAGAAAUGAUUUUGCAAUUGAAAUAUAUGAAAAUUGUUGAACUUCUAAA
Long non-coding RNA from Tigriopus californicus, 842 nucleotides. RefSeq lists it as uncharacterized. The transcript is spliced from 2 exons. NCBI's taxonomy places the organism in Eukaryota, Metazoa, Arthropoda, Copepoda, Harpacticoida, Harpacticidae. The record is from RefSeq and is a predicted model, not a curated record.